Molecule: ribosomal RNA, 392 nt
Filed under: uncultured bacterium
Lineage: Bacteria
Description: bacterial SSU rRNA
Rfam family: Bacterial small subunit ribosomal RNA
Source: RNAcentral
CAGCGCCGCCGCGUGAGGGAUGACGCUCUUCGGAGUGUAAACCUCUUUUGCCCGGGACGAAUUGCCAGUUUAGACUGGCUUGACGGUACCGGGUGAAUAAGCACCGGCUAACUCCGUGCCAGCAGCCGCGGUAAUACGGAGGGUGCGAGCGUUGUCCGGAAUCACUGGGCGUAAAGGGCGCGUAGGCGGCUCUAGGAAGGCGGCGGUGAAAGUCCGGGGCUCAACCCCGGAUCGGCCGUGGCGACUCCUGAGCUCGAGCACAGUAGAGGCGGGUGGAAUUCCGGGUGUAGCGGUGGAAUGCGUAGAGAUCCGGAAGAACACCGGUGGCGAAGGCGGUUCUCUGGGCAUUUCCUGACGCUGAGAAGCGAAAGCGUGGGGAGCAAACAGGCUUA